Molecule: ribosomal RNA, 460 nt
Filed under: uncultured bacterium
Lineage: Bacteria
Description: partial 16S ribosomal RNA
Rfam family: Bacterial small subunit ribosomal RNA
Source: RNAcentral
CCUACGGGAGGCAGCAGUGGGGAAUAUUGGUCAAUGGACGAGAGUCUGAACCAGCCAAGUAGCGUGAAGGAUGACUGCCCUAUGGGUUGUAAACUUCUUUUAUAUGGGAAUAAAAUGUUCCACGUGUGGGAUUUUGUAUGUACCAUAUGAAUAAGGAUCGGCUAACUCCGUGCCAGCAGCCGCGGUAAUACGGAGGAUCCGAGCGUUAUCCGGAUUUAUUGGGUUUAAAGGGAGCGUAGGUGGAUUGUUAAGUCAGUUGUGAAAGUUUGCGGCUCAACCGUAAAAUUGCAGUUGAAACUGGCAGUCUUGAGUACAGUAGAGGUGGGCGGAAUUCGUGGUGUAGCGGUGAAAUGCUUAGAUAUCACGAAGAACUCCGAUUGCGAAGGCAGUUCACUGGACUGCAACUGACACUGAGGCUCGAAAGUGUGGGUAUCAAACAGGAUUAGAUACCCCAGUAGUC